GUGGUGGAUGGUCGGUGGUGAUAGUGUUGAUGACAAUGAUGUUUAGCACCAAAUUCAUAACCAAGGGUGUUCCAAGUAUGACCAUCCUGUCAUUUUAUAACACAUCAAGUGAUCACACAGAGGCUUCCCUCAUUGGUUUAAAGGUGAUAAUGGCUAUAGGUGUAGCUGUGUGAUUUGCUUCCCAAUGACAUGGUUCCCGGUUCAGUCCCACUGUGUGGAAUCUUGGACAGAUUUGAAACCAGAAUAUAAAGGAACACAGCUAAAUGCCACAAGGAAUGUUGUCCAGUAUUUUUUCUGAUUCUGCUGAUUUACCAACACCAACCAGUACCAACCAGUUCCAACCAGUUCUAGUACCAGCCAAUACAUAUCAAUAUAGAAAUCUUAAAGUGCUUAUGAAAUUACUUUGAGUAAGGAAA
This is a long non-coding RNA of Octopus bimaculoides (California two-spot octopus), 416 nucleotides long. RefSeq lists it as uncharacterized. Lineage: Eukaryota; Metazoa; Mollusca; Cephalopoda; Octopoda; Octopodidae. The record is from RefSeq and is a predicted model, not a curated record.